GCAUUAGUGGGGUAGUGGUAACCUGGGUCGUUGCCAUUUCAUAUCAAUGGUCUUUAUUCGACCCGCCGGGAGUUCGAUUCUCUCCUAAUGCA
Non-coding RNA from Mycena rebaudengoi, 92 nucleotides. The record is from the annotation of a GenBank genome assembly. Lineage: Eukaryota; Fungi; Basidiomycota; Agaricomycetes; Agaricales; Mycenaceae.